UCCAGACCACUUGCUCUCCCUCUCUCUGUCCCCAUCACUGAGGGCACAAGCGGAAGAUGGCCCCUACCAGCCAGAAAAACAUUCUCACUAGAAAUCGACCAUGCGGACAUCUUGAUUUUUGGACUUUUAACUUCCAGAACUGAGGGCAAAUGCAUUCCUGUUGUUUAUCACCCAGUCUCUGGUACCUUGUUAAGGUAGCCUGAGCUAAGACAAUGGAAUAUUAUUCUGUCUUACAAUGGAAAGAAAUUCUGACACGCACUACAACAAAGAUGAACCUUGAGGGCAUUCUCCUCAGUGAAACGAGCCAGUCACAGAAGGACAUAUACUGACUGGAUGAUUCUGCCUACAUGGGAUACCUUGAGGAGUCAAAAACUCCUGGAGACAGUGGAGCAAAUAAAUUUAGAAGCCUUCUGUAAUUGUAUUUUUAAUUGCCUGGAUGGUCUUCUAGAAGGGACAGGAACAACAACCUCAGAAUCCACAGGUGUCCCUUCAACAGUGGGUCUUCUUGAGUGGUGUGUGGACCACAUGGGCACCAGUCAAGGACACUCUUCAGGCCUGUGGUAAAGAACUGAUCACCGCCCUAAGGAUGCACGAGACAUUCCCAGGUGCCUGGCCUUCCUCUUUGCUACCAGAACUGGCCUUUUACUUCUGAAUGAUAUGAACCAAGUUAUUUAAACUUUAAAAAAGGGUCUGCACCAACCAAAUCAUAAAGGAAAGCACCCACCUGCAGAGAAGGCAGGCAGGCAUGAUGGUGGUACCUCAGCAAUGACCUCUGCUGUACCUCCAGCCCAGGCGGGGCCCUGUCUGGGGUCUCCUACUUGCAAGGACCACAGUUUGGUCCUCCACCGACUGAACCCUUCCCCAUAGAGCAAGGAGCUCAGUCUUCACUUCUAGGUCAUACUUUGGUUUUCUGGGACCCAAGAAUCCCCUGCCCCAAUGGCCCCAAGCAAUCUUGUAGGGCCUGCCCUUUUGAUGGUGGACCAGGCCCCUCGAGGUGAGAGGUCUGAGGUAGGGACAACAGGAUGUGAGAGGGGAGGCUGGAGGAGAGCUUGGAUGUGCGGGUUGGGUGCUGUGAGCAGAGCCGAGGGCGGGGUGCACAGACGCAUGGGCCAGGGGCUCCACGUACAUUUCCUGGCCCCACAGAAGACUAGGGUGGGUCUACAUGUUUUAUUUUGUUUAUCAUAGUUAAUUGAUGUAUAAUGUUUUAAUAUUUAGACAUGAGGAACAUGAGCCCUACAAGCCCUCUGCAACCUGAUGGGUGGGGAAGGCCGGGGUGAAGAGGAGGACUUCAGAUGGCCUCAUCUCCAGGGCAGUACUUUCCUCCAGUAGCAGGCCAUUAUACCAAUUCAGUGCACUGCAACUUGCAUUUUCAAAAACAAAAUAGAGCAAAAUGGAAAAUGCUGGAAUGCAGCACUCACAUAAGAGAAUUUCAGUAAAAUAUUUGUUUUUUUGAUGUGGUCUGGUCUUGAUGUCAAGCACAUGCCCUCCUAUGGGUCUUGGCCAGGAGGGCUUGACAGAGCAGGGAGGGCACACAGACAGGUGAUAGGUGGAGAGAGACGCAGUCGAUGCACUGUCAGCAGAGCCCAGAGACCACCUGGACGAAGUGGCUCUAACUAGUUCCCACAAUGAGACCUGAAUCCAUGCCCUGCUCUCCACCUCCACCAUGACCAUGAGUGACUCACCUGGAGACCUGAGAAGCCUCCUCCCCAUCUCCUGGUCACCUCCCCUCUGGCCCUCUCCCCUCCACCACCCAUUCUGCUCAUCUGUCCCUCCUUCUCUUAUAACCCCCUGUGGCCUCCUGUCCAAUAUCUAGUCCUGCUGCCACCUGGCUCUGUUCCAAACAAGCCUUGCUCGCUGGCCUCCGCCCCUGGCUUCUCUUCCCAGUGCAAGCACAGCCUCUUCAUUUCUCAUGGCUGCUCCCCUGUCUUCCAGGUCUCAGAUCAGACGUCCUCUUCUCAGAGGAGCCUUCCCAAACCUCUUAGUCCCAGUCCCAGCAGUCCUAGUAGGUAUCCUGCGGACUCACCUGCUCACCCAUCUCCCUACUUUGCCCCAAGAGGGCAGCUGCAGGAGACAAGCUGUCAUUACAGGCACAAGCCUGGCACAGAGCAGGUGCUCAGUAAAUGCUCCUUGGAUGAAUAAAUGAGGUAUCAGAGUGAUCUUCUAACUAGGGGAGUUCAUUCUUUUAAAUGCAUAAAGUCAUCAAUCCUCCCUGAUACAUUAACUCCCCAGGGGCCUGAGGCCAAUGACCUUAGGCAAGUCAUCUGACUUUCCUGAGCUUUGGUUUCCUCCUCCGUGAGAUAAAAAGUUGGCCGUGAGGGCUCCUGAGGCUCUUUCCCAAUUCUGAAAUCCUACAGCUACGUCAGAGUAUCACUACUCCCUGCCCACCCCUCUCUGCCCAUUUCCUGCUCUUCCCACUGGGGAAGGAAGAGAGAAGGAUCUAUUUACCGUGUCUAGGGAAAGAGAUGAAGCUUCCAACCCUACCAAGAAAGGAUGUUUUUUUCUCAUUUUAAAGUGUUCUGCCUUUGUAUUUAUGUUUUAAUGCUGUGGCUUUCUAAUGUUUCAGAACAUAAAAUACAUCCUUGAUCUACUCCGAGGGUCCUAAUGGGGCUUUCCUAAGCGGGACCGUGCAGAUGACCGAAGGGAACAGACGGCCUGCUUGAGGCUGGCGCUGAAGUCACCUUAAAGUCCUACUCACCUGGAAUGCUGAAGAGUGAACGUACAAAGAUUCCUUUUAGUGUCUUCAGUCUAGACUCCGAAUGUCUGAAAAUCUGCGCAUAAUCAUUAACUUUUAUUAGGGACGUAUCGGGCUUUACUGCAGAAAUAACGUAAUUAUUUGCUAGCUCCCCAUCAGCUCUCACUCGUACAGGCAGGAGGACCCAUGUGGAGUGCUGCUAGAUUUCGGACAGAGAUUUUCCUCGAGCACUUUCCAGUUAUUACACCCUGGGAAAGGCCAUAAAAUUGAUAUCCGGCAUCAAAUCACUUUUACAGCUGGAAACAACCGAAGCUACUGUAUUUUCAUUCUAGGACUAUAGCUUGAUCAUGAAACAUCUCAGCAUCCCACUUGCUACUCAUAUUUUCAUUUGUUCUCUCUCUCUCUCUCUCUCUCUCUCUCUUUGGUGGCAAUGACAGCCACCAGAGUCAGGAUUUUAUUUUCUCUACCUUCAGUUGUAGAGGAAUGCUUUCAUGUACUUUGACUAAUAGGACCUUCCCCUUCCUAGCUCCCUUUAUCAGAUUGCCUGCCACACCACGAUCCUUUUCCUGUCCACGACAUCCAAAUCCAUGUGAUGUGUCUCAGGGGAGGCAGAAGUUAGUCACCAACACCCACUUUUACUAAUAGGCUGUCCCCAACUCUCUUAAAGAGCUGAGCCAGGGAAUCUGUAUUAACUAGAACACCAGGGAGGGGCUCACUGCCGCUGCAGAGUGAAUAGUCACAGGAUGAACACAGGGUCACUGAAAAUUUUGCUUUUUGGGAAAUGGAAACUUUCGUUUUUUCAGAGUUUUAGCGAGAUACAACUCACAAGCCAUAUAGUUUACGCACUUGAAGUUCACAACUCUACGGUUUUGAGUGUAUUCACAGACUUGUGCAAUCAUUUUCACAAUCAAUUUUAGAACAUUUUUGUCACCCCAAUGAGAAACCUGCACCAAUUACCCACCAUCCCCUCCAGAUCUCCCCUUCCUGCCAGCCUCUUGCAACCAAGAAUCUGCCUUUUGUUUGUCUCCAUGGAUUUGCUUAUUCUGCACAUUUUGUAUAAAUGGAAUCCUACAAUAUGUGGCCCUUUGUGUCUAGCUAAUUUCAUUUUGCCUACUGUUUCCAGGUGCAUCCCCACUGUGGCAGGUGGCAGUGUUUCAUUCCUUUUAUUGCCACAUAAUAGUCCAUUGUGUGGACACACCACUUUAUCCAUUUAUGAAUUGACAAGUUAUGGAAUUUUACGGCUGGAAGGGACAUGGCAGGUCCUCCAAUGCAACCCUCAAUUUUACAAAGGAGGUAGGAGGCACAGAGAUGGGCAGGUGACUUGUCCUAAAUGAUACAGCCAGACUGGGAAACUUGACACUAGAGCUUUGGUUUUGUAAAUCAUGAAAUAUUUCAUGCAUACUGAAAAGCAUAGGAAAAACAUGUAGUGAAUUUUCGGUUCACAGCUUUCACCUAUUUCCUUUUUGGGCCCCCAUUUAUUUAAUUCCUUGUAGGGGUUCUUAAUAAAUCCUAAAUGUGAAUCAUCUGUUGUUUAAAAUCUCUACCUAUAUCUUUUCCCAGUCUCUGUCUUGUAUUGUCCUUUUGUUUCUGGUGUUGUUGAUGUUUGGUGGACAGAAGUUUCUAAUUUUAAUGAAUUGUCUGCCUUAUUAUCUAUGAUUUGUACUUUCUGAGUCUUGGUUAAGAAAUCUUUUGUUAGUAUUCUCCUAACUUUCCCUUAAUUUUUUCAAAUUUUGCUUUUCAUGCUUAAUUCCCCUGGAAUGUACUUUUGUGUCUGGUGUGAAGUAAAUUAAUUUUUUUCUAGAAACGCAACCUGAUCUUCAGCACCAAUUACCACUCCAGUCUUUUACCACUUAUCUGUUGUGGGGAGGAAAAACAUUUUUCCUUCUACCUUUCUAGGUUCUUGGUGGGGGCUCUGUGCCAAAGAUAGGUUAACAAAAAGCAUACAAAUUUACUUAACAUAAGUUCUUCUGGGCACCUGGGUGGCCUUUGGCUUGGGUCACAGUCCCAGGGGCCUGGGAUGGAACCCUGCAUUGGGCUCCCAGCUCAGUGGGGAGUCUGCUUCUCCCUCUUCCUCUGCUUCUCCCCCUGUUUGUGUUCUCUGAAUAAAUAAAAUCUUAAAAAAAAAAAAAUUCUCCAUGACCCAGGAGCUUUCACAAGGAAAUGGAGACCUGAAGGAUAGUUAAAUGUGAGUGUUUUUUUACUGGGUUUAACGAAGAGUGAAAAGUCAUGGGAAAAUGUGAUAGAACAAUGGUGUAGGAGUCAAGAGGAGUAGACUGCGGGAAAUUUAGCAAGAUCUAUUCAUUCAGAUUUCUCUUGGCAUUCUCUUUGGAGAUAAGGAUGCUCCUUUUCUCUGGGUGUAGAGAGGGCACCUGUCCUCUGAGGGUCUAUGAUCUACUUCAAGGGAAGGAGAUCAUUUCUCAAAUUCCUUCCAUUUAGAUUAUUCAGUAUACCAAGGUGCCAUAUUUGGAGGGAGCAUGUGUUAAAUCCUAUCACAACAGUGCCACAUCUAUCACAUAAAGAAUAUCUGUAUAUCUAUAGGUUUAAUUUUGGGCUCUGUUCCUUUAGUCUGUUGGUCUAUUUUUGUCCCAAUACCACAUGUCUCAAUUCCUGUAAGUUUAUAAUAAGUCCUAAUAUUUAGAAGGGCAAGGCCCACAACCUCUCACCUUGCCCUCUUCCUUCAAAAUAGUCUUAAAUCUUUGUCUUGUUUGCUUUUGCAUCUAAACUCCAAGAUAAGCUUGUCAAUUUCAUCAAAAUUCCUUUUGGGGCUUUGACUGGUAUUGCAUUGAAUUGAUAUAUUUAUAUGGAUUUUACUUACAUCUUUAUGAGAUAUUGAGUAUCUCUAUCCAUGAAGAUGGUAUAUAGCUCUCCUCCUUUUUAAUGUGUUUCUUUUUUUUUUUUAAGAUUUUAUUUAUUUAUUCAUGAGAGACACACAGAGAGGUAGAGACACAGGGAGAAGGAGAAGCAGGCUCCAUGCAGGGGUCCCAAUGCGGGACUCAAUCCCAGGACUCCAAGAUCACACCCUGAGCCUGAGCCAAAGGCAGACACUCAACUACUGAGUCACUCAGGCAUCCCUAAUGUGUUUCAAUACAUACAUUUUAAACAAUUUUGUAAAUUGUGUAAUUUAUGUUGUAAAUUUUAUAAUUGUAGUUUCACAAUUUUCUUUAUAGAAAUCAUACACAUAUUUUGUUAUACUUAUUCCUUGGUUAUAAAAUUUUUCUUGCUCUUAUAAAUUGUAGUUUAAAAUUGCACUGUUGCCAGUAUAUAAGAAUACAUUGAGUUUUAAAUAUCAGCCUAAAAUUCAGCAGCCAAGAUAAACUCUUAGUUUAAAAAAAUGUACUAGUUCAAAUAUUUUCAUGAAUUUUUAUGCAGAUGAUCACAUUAUUUGUGACUUAUGACAGUUUUGUUUUCUCCUUUCUACCUUACACCUUUUAUUAAUUUUUCUGUUCCUAAUGCACAGGUUAGAACCUAAAUCCUUUGUGUGGUUGAAUGGAAGCACACACAGUGGGCAUUGCUGUCUCAUGCCUGACAUUAAAGGAAGGUUUCUCAUUUAAUCUCUAAAUGUGAUAUUUGCUGUAGGUUUUUGGCAAAUGUCCUCCAAUGAGUUACAGAAGAUCCCUUCUAUUUCUAAUGAGUUAUGGAUCUUUCUUUACUCUGGUUUUAAAAACAGUAUUUAUUAAUUAAUAUUUAUAGAAAUAAGAUAUGCUCACAGAAAGAGAAAUCAAAUAGGAGGAAAGUAGAAAUGCACCUUCCUAACCCCAGGCUUUCUUUUCAGACAAAACCACUGUUCAUCAGAUGAUGAACAUGUAUGGUUUCACUCAUACGUGGAAUAUGAGAAAUAGUGAAAGGGAUUAUAAGGGAAAGGAGGGGAAGCAGAGAGAGAAAAAUUAGAGAGGGAGACAAACCAUGAGAGACUUCUAACUCUGGGAAACAAACAAACAAAGGGUAAUGGAAAGGGAGAUAGGUGGGGGGAUGGGGUAACUGGGUGAUGGGCACUGAGAAGGGCACUUGAUGGGAUGAGCACUGGGUGUUAUACUCUAUGUUGGCAAAUUGAAUUUUAGUAAAAAAAAUAUAAAAAAAUAAUUCAAGUGCUAUUUGGAUACUAACAUUUUGACCAGAAAACAUAUUUAUAUUCAUGAAUAAAAAAUGAAAUAAUAGGCAAAAACUUCCUUAACAUUACUGAUGCUUUAAAAAAAAAGAUUUUAUUUAUUUAUUUGACAGAGAGAAAGAGUAUGAUCAUUGGGGAGGAGUAAGGGGAGAGGGAGAAGCAGUCUCCCCACUGAGCAGGGAGCCUGAUGUGAGGUUCAAUCCUAGGACUCUGGGAUCAUGACCUGAGCCAAAGAUGGACACUUAACUGAGCCACCCAGGUGUCCCUAUUGGUUAAUUCUUACUGAAAAUUUGCUUUCCAUCAUGAAACUUUUAUAACUAUCUUAAGUUCAUAUUAAUUUUCUAUACGGACACUAAACAUGCUUGUCACAUGUCACCAUCUAUUGUAAACUAAAUUAGAAUUAUUUUAUUUAAUUUUCACAUAAAAUUAUAGUCCUUUUUCCAAAAUAUUACAAUAUUAAAAUAACAAAAAAGCCCACCGUUAACAUUCUGUCUUUCCUUCUAAAGAUUUUCAAUAUGCAUAUUAGCACAUAUUUGUAUACCCCUGUUCUUACACACAGAUAUCACACUGUACUCCUGUUCUGUAAUUGGAUUUUUUUCAAAUAAAGCAUUUUAGACAUUACUUUA
Long non-coding RNA from Nyctereutes procyonoides (raccoon dog), 7423 nucleotides. RefSeq lists it as uncharacterized. Lineage: Eukaryota; Metazoa; Chordata; Mammalia; Carnivora; Canidae. The transcript has 2 exons. The record is from RefSeq and is a predicted model, not a curated record.